GACGAACGCUGGCGGCGUGCUUAACACAUGCAAGUCGAACGGAAAGGCCCUGCUUUUGUGGGGUGCUCGAGUGGCGAACGGGUGAGUAACACGUGAGUAACCUGCCCUUGACUUUGGGAUAACUUCAGGAAACUGGGGCUAAUACCGGAUAGGAGCUCCUGCUGCAUGGUGGGGGUUGGAAAGUUUCGGCGGUUGGGGAUGGACUCGCGGCUUAUCAGCUUGUUGGUGGGGUAGUGGCUUACCAAGGCUUUGACGGGUAGCCGGCCUGAGAGGGUGACCGGCCACAUUGGGACUGAGAUACGGCCCAGACUCCUACGGGAGGCAGCAGUGGGGAAUAUUGCACAAUGGGCGGAAGCCUGAUGCAGCAACGCCGCGUGCGGGAUGACGGCCUUCGGGUUGUAAACCGCUUUCGCCUGUGACGAAGCGUGAGUGACGGUAAUGGGUAAAGAAGCACCGGCUAACUACGUGCCAGCAGCCGCGGUGAUACGUAGGGUGCGAGCGUUGUCCGGAUUUAUUGGGCGUAAAGGGCUCGUAGGUGGUUGAUCGCGUCGGAAGUGUAAUCUUGGGGCUUAACCCUGAGCGUGCUUUCGAUACGGGUUGACUUGAGGAAGGUCGGGGAGAAUGGAAUUCCUGGUGGAGCGGUGGAAUGCGCAGAUAUCAGGAGGAACACCAGUGGCGAAGGCGGUUCUCUGGGCCUUUCCUGACGCUGAGGAGCGAAAGCGUGGGGAGCGAACAGGCUUAGAUACCCUGGUAGUCCACGCUGUAAACGGUGGGUACUAGGUGUGGGGUCCAUUCCACGGGUUCCGUGCCGUAGCUAACGCUUUAAGUACCCCGCCUGGGGAGUACGGCCGCAAGGCUAAAACUCAAAGGAAUUGACGGGGCCCCGCACAAGCGGCGGAGCAUGCGGAUUAAUUCGAUGCAACGCGUAGAACCUUACCUGGGUUUGACAUGGAUCGGGAGUGCUCAGAGAUGGGUGUGCCUCUUUUGGGGUCGGUUCACAGGUGGUGCAUGCCUGUCGUCAGCUCGUGUCGUGAGAUGUUGGGUUAAGUCCCGCAACGAGCGCAACCCUUGUUCACUGUUGCCAGCACGUUAUGGUGGGGACUCAGUGGAGACCGCCGGGGUCAACUCGGAGGAAGGUGGGGAUGACGUCAAGUCCUCAUGCCCCUUAUGUCCAGGGCUUCACGCAUGCUACAAUGGCUGGUACAGAGAGUGGCGAGCCUGUGAGGGUGAGCGAAUCUCGGAAAGCCGGUCUCAGUUCGGAUUGGGGUCUGCAACUCGACCUCAUGAAGUCGGAGUCGCUAGUAAUCGCAGAUCAGCAACGCUGCGGUGAAUACGUUCCCGGG
RNAcentral lists this ribosomal RNA (1343 nucleotides) under uncultured bacterium. RNAcentral's name for it is "16S ribosomal RNA". It matches the Rfam family "Bacterial small subunit ribosomal RNA", at positions 28 to 1378 of the family's 1533-position model. The record is from RNAcentral.